Molecule: long non-coding RNA, 877 nt
Filed under: Cebus imitator (Panamanian white-faced capuchin)
Lineage: Eukaryota; Metazoa; Chordata; Mammalia; Primates; Cebidae
Description: lncRNA (ENSCCAG00000038212.1)
Source: RNAcentral
CCCAGCUAAGUUUCCGUUUAAGUUCACUAACCCAUUUCCUCUGUAGGUCUACAGGGGCUACCUGCCAAUGUGCAGGGAUUAAAUGAAGAAAUAAAGACCUAAGGCCUUUCUGGAAGCUAAAAACCCUAGGACUCCCUAAACACUUUGGAGUUUCAGCUCAGAAUCCCUUUGGUUAAGAGAAAUAAAUGCAGAAGGCCCCAAGCUCGAUGCUAAAGAUGUCUGUGAAAGAGUUCUGCAAGAAUAGGAUAUUUGCAGUCUCAUGUGCGAUAAUCAUUUCAGAAGUAGCUGCUGAUACAGGGAGCAUGCUUCAUCAAGACUCUGCGUAGCACAUGGAAGGGCGGGCUACACCAGUGACUACACAACUGAGGCAACCACAGGAGAUGAACUGCUAACUUUGAUUCCAAUGAGUCCCUGGUGUGUGACAUUGGAAUGUCACUUUAUUCCUCUACCCUCAGUUUCCUCAUCAAAGAUGGAAUUUUCUGAUCUGUGAUUUUUAAUUUUUUUUUUUUUUUAGACAGAAUCUUGCUCUGUCACCCAGGCUAGAGUGCAGUGGUGUAAUCUUGGCUCACUGCAACCUCUGCCUCCUGGGUUCAAGUGAUUCUCUGGUCUCAGCCUCCCAAGUAGCUGGGACUAUAGGCGCAUGCCACCAUGCCCAACUAAUUUUUGUAUUUUUAGUAGAGACAGAGUUUCACCAUGUUAGCUAGGAUGGUCUCGACCUCUUGACAUCGUGAUCCACCCACCUCAGCCUCCCAAAGUGCUGGGAUUACAGGAGCGAGCCACAGUGCUCAGCCUGAUCUGUGAUUUUUUAAGUGUUCCUUGGGGCUUUAUGAUGCCCUUUUAGAAAAGGUGGGGGCAAGGGCUUGAACUCUCACACCUG